GCCUCGUUAGCGCAGUAGCAAGCGCGUCAGUCUCAUAAUCAAAUCUAGAAAUCUGAAUGUCGUGAGUUCGAUCCUUACACGGGGCA
Nematostella vectensis (starlet sea anemone) is the source of this 86-nucleotide non-coding RNA. The record is from Rfam. NCBI's taxonomy places the organism in Eukaryota, Metazoa, Cnidaria, Anthozoa, Actiniaria, Edwardsiidae.